This 465-nucleotide ribosomal RNA is filed under the name uncultured bacterium. RNAcentral describes it as "partial 16S ribosomal RNA". It matches the Rfam family "Bacterial small subunit ribosomal RNA", at positions 28 to 507 of the family's 1533-position model. The record is from RNAcentral.
GACGAACGCUGGCGGCGUGCUUAACACAUGCAAGUCGAACGGAAAGGCCCCUUUGGGGGUACUCGAGUGGCGAACGGGGGAGUAACACGUGAGUAACCUGCCCUUGACUUCGGGAUAACUUCAGGAAACUGGGGCUAAUACCGGAUAGGAAUCCUUGCUGCAUGGUGGGGGUUGGAAAGCUUCGGCGGUUUUGGAUGGACUCGCGGCUUAUCAGCGUGUUGGUGGGGUAGUGGCUUACCAAGGCUUUGACGGGUAGCCGGCCUGAGAGGGCGACCGGCCACCGUGGGACUGGGAUACGGCCCCGACUCCUACGGGGGGGCGCAGGGGGGAAUUUUGCACAAUGGGCGGAAGCCCGAUGCAGCAACGCCGCGGGCGGGAUGACGGCCUUCGGGUUGUAAACCGCUUUCAGCAGGGGCGAAGCUUGUGGUGACGGUACCUGCAGAAGAAGCACCGGCUAACUACGUG